Molecule: small nucleolar RNA, 125 nt
Organism: Echinops telfairi (small Madagascar hedgehog)
Lineage: Eukaryota; Metazoa; Chordata; Mammalia; Afrosoricida; Tenrecidae
Source: Ensembl
UCCCUCCAGAUUCCUUAGCCCACAGAUCUCAACACUGUCGGAGUAGCUUUUUUAAAAAGGAGGGGAAGUAAAAGUGAAAUGGAUUUGGGGCCUUUAAGUGACAAACACGUUCAUUUCAAACAUGU